Molecule: transfer RNA, 72 nt
Filed under: Methermicoccus shengliensis
Lineage: Archaea; Methanobacteriati; Methanobacteriota; Methanomicrobia; Methanosarcinales; Methermicoccaceae
Description: tRNA-Gly
Rfam family: tRNA
About the family: Transfer RNA (tRNA) molecules are approximately 80 nucleotides in length. Their secondary structure includes four short double-helical elements and three loops (D, anti-codon, and T loops).
Source: RNAcentral
GCGGCUGUGGUCUAGGGGUCAUGACAGGGGCUUCCCAAGCCUCUAACCCGGGUUCGAAUCCCGGCAGCCGCA